UGUCAUUAAUUCAUAAUUGUUUUAGUGACUAAUUCUGUAUCCUGUUAAAUUCCACUGCUUUUUCCGUGCGUGUACCAGACACCAGCUGAUGGUCCAACAGGAGGACUGUGCCCAGCAGGAAGUUACUGCCCCCCGGCCUCUUCCUCACCCCUGCCCUGCCCUCCUGGAACCUUCAGCAACACCUCUGGCCUCGGGAAAGCCCAGGAGUGCGUCAGCUGUCCGCCAGGGUGACAAAUCCUCUACUCGCUCACCCUGCGUCUCAUCAAUAUGACUUUUCACAUACCGUGUUCGUUUUCUCUCGAACCACACCCUGUGCGGAGGGAGCCUCUGUUUCUUAACGUCCGCACGUGUCUUUCAGAUUCUAUUGUCUAGGCUACAACAGCACCUCACCUUCAGGCGCUUGUUUCGCUGGUUUCUACUGUAACGGAGGGUCGGCUUCCCCCGUUCAGAACGAAGCGGACGCGGGUCAUUUUACCGCGGAGGGGGCGUUCAGGUCGCAGCCGUGUCCUCUUGGCACAUUUCAGCCGGUGGGUAAUAACCUGGGCAGAAUACAGAGGGUGUACUGUUAAAAAUCACUAAUGAGGUGAAGGCAUAUUGAAGGCUAUUCCCAUGUCUCUAAAUCCCCAUCAGCAUCGAGGCUCACAGGCGUGUGUGGAGUGUCAGGGAGGCAGACUGUGUAACCAGACGGGCUUGUCUCAGGCUCCUCUGUGUCCCACGGGACACUACUGUCCUCCAGGGUCUCCUGUUGCUCGGCCCUGCCCCCCAGUUAGUAUCUGCAUGUGCUUGUAAAACGUGUUCUUCUCAUUAAAUUUGCGUAUCUAAUACUGAACGUCAUGCUGUGUGAUUGUUAUCACGAAGGGCUCUUACUCUGACCAGCCCGGUGGUGAAGCUGCGGAGCACUGUCGGCCGUGCGAGGCCGGCUGGUUCUGCAGCCGAGUGGGUCUGUCGGAACCUCAGGCUCCCUGUGACCCUGGACAUUACUGCACCUCAGGCGCCUCCACUGCUUCUCCAGUGGCUGUGGCGUCUGGGGGCGUGUGUCCUGCCGGCUACAUCUGUCCACGGGGGACAAAGUACCCCCAGCAGCACCCCUGUCCUCUGGGAACCUUUAGCAGCGCUGUGGGAGCCCAGAACUCGUCUUCCUGCCUGUCGUGUCCCCCAGGACUCUACUGCAACAGCACUGGACUUAGUCAGGCCUCAGGAAUCUGUGACCCAGGGUAUUACUGUUCAGGAGGGGCAGUGUCUCCAGUGCCCACGGAUGGCGUGACCGGGGACGUUUGUCCGCUCGGACACUUCUGUCCCAUGGGCUCAGC
This 1310-nucleotide long non-coding RNA is filed under the name Betta splendens (Siamese fighting fish). RNAcentral's name for it is "lncRNA (ENSBSLG00000015587.1)". Lineage: Eukaryota; Metazoa; Chordata; Actinopteri; Anabantiformes; Osphronemidae. The record is from RNAcentral.